AUUGAACGCUGGCGGCAUGCCUUACACAUGCAAGUCGAACGGCAGCACGGGUGCUUGCACCUGGUGGCGAGUGGCGAACGGGUGAGUAAUAUAUCGGAACGUACCUUAUUGUGGGGGAUAACGCAGCGAAAGCUGUGCUAAUACCGCAUAAUCCCUUAGGGGGAAAGCGGGGGACCGUAAGGCCUCGCGCAAUUAGAGCGGCCGAUACCUGAUUAGCUAGUUGGUGAGGUAAAGGCUCACCAAGGCAACGAUCAGUAGCUGGUCUGAGAGGACGAUCAGCCACACUGGGACUGAGACACGGCCCAGACUCCUACGGGAGGCAGCAGUGGGGAAUUUUGGACAAUGGGGGCAACCCUGAUCCAGCAAUGCCGCGUGAGUGAAGAAGGCCUUCGGGUUGUAAAGCUCUUUUGUCAGGGAAGAAACAGCAGCUCUAACACA
Molecule: ribosomal RNA, 438 nt
Filed under: Polynucleobacter sp. Fw70s-16
Lineage: Bacteria; Pseudomonadati; Pseudomonadota; Betaproteobacteria; Burkholderiales; Burkholderiaceae
Also listed under: 2 other names
Description: bacterial SSU rRNA
Rfam family: Bacterial small subunit ribosomal RNA
Source: RNAcentral